This 218-nucleotide ribosomal RNA is filed under the name uncultured eukaryote. Its description in RNAcentral is "partial 18S ribosomal RNA". The record is from RNAcentral.
UCGUGGAGUGAUCUGUCUGCUUAAUUGCGUAUCAAUAAUAGAGACCUAGUAUACGCGUCGUAGUUGUAUGGUAGUGACCCCCUCUUCACCGAGGCGCGUGUCGCACAUAUGCUCGUCGCACUGGUCUCAGAUAGCAACGAACGUGACCGUACUCUAUUGUUGUAGUGAAAUAGUACUUCGGUACGACCCACUGCUUAGUAUGCGCGUACUUUAUUGUG